GCAGGUGGUUUGUUAAGUCUAGAUGUGAAAGCCCGGGGCUCAACCUCGGAAUUGCAUUUGAAACUGGCAGACUAGAGUACUGUAGAGGGGGUAGAAUUUCAGGUGUAGCGGUGAAAAUGCGUAGAGAUCUGAAGGAAUACCGGUGGCGAAGGCGGCCCCCUGGACAGAUACUGACACUCAGAUGCGAAAGCGUGGGGAAGCAAACAGGAUUAGAUACCCUGGUAG
Molecule: ribosomal RNA, 225 nt
Filed under: uncultured bacterium
Lineage: Bacteria
Description: partial 16S ribosomal RNA
Rfam family: Bacterial small subunit ribosomal RNA
Source: RNAcentral